Long non-coding RNA from Chelonia mydas (Green sea turtle), 679 nucleotides. RefSeq lists it as uncharacterized. The record is from RefSeq and is a predicted model, not a curated record. The transcript is spliced from 2 exons. Lineage: Eukaryota; Metazoa; Chordata; Testudines; Cheloniidae.
UUGAGAGGGGUUCUGGUGACAAAGCCAUGAGCACAGAGCUCAGUGACUGGUUUAAAUAUAAUUUAUUAAAGCAGUUAAUAUGUAAAAAGCACCAGUGUAUUGACCCUUAGGAAACUGGCUAGUGACUGGAUCACUGACUGUACUGAGGGGAGGAAAGACACACAACUGGUCUUGCUGUAGAAACAUUCUCUUAUGUAACAAACUGACAUUUGAUCCUGUGUUUUGAUACCACUCCAAAAACAGGUUCAAUAUUUGCAGAUAAACACCCAUGGAGAUCUUACGUGUAUCUACAUUGCAUUAUGAAAAAGUCAAACGGAGAUUGGGCUGAUCUACAUUGAAAAAAGUUACAUCAGCAUAACUACAUUUCUCAGGUGCAUGAAAAUCCACACCCUGAGAGAUAGUUAAUCUGACCUAACCCUGGGCGUAGACAGCGGUAGGUCAACAGAAGAAUUCUUCCAUCAACCUAGCUACCGCCUCUCAGAGAGUUGGAUUAGCUAUAGCCACAGAAGACCCUCUCCCAUCACUGUACUAAGUGCCUACACCGAAGCACUGCAGCUGUGCCACUGUAGCAUUUUAAGUGAAUACAUAGCCAUAGAGGAACCAGAUUUAAAAAAAAAAAAAGUUCUUUAAUCCUAGAGAACUAUUUUCCUAAGUUUUUUUUAUUUGAGAACAGGGCAGU